RNAcentral lists this ribosomal RNA (406 nucleotides) under uncultured bacterium. RNAcentral's name for it is "partial 16S ribosomal RNA". It matches the Rfam family "Bacterial small subunit ribosomal RNA", at positions 30 to 526 of the family's 1533-position model. The record is from RNAcentral.
AUUGAACGCUGGCGGCAGGCCUAACACAUGCAAGUCGAACGAGUGGCGGACGGGUGAGUAAUGUCUGGGAAACUGCCUGAUGGAGGGGGAUAACUACUGGAAACGGUAGCUAAUACCGCAUACCAUCGGAUGUGCCCAGAUGGGAUUAGCUAGUAGGUGGGGUAACGGCUCACCUAGGCGACGAUCCCGAGCUGGUCUGAGAGGAUGACCACCGACACUGGAACUGAGACACGGUCCAGACGCCUACGGGAGGCAGCAGUGGGGAAUAGUGCGCAAUGGGGGCAAGCCUUAUGCAGUCAUGCGGCGUGUAUGAAGACGGCCUUCGGGUUGUAAAGUACUUUCAGCGGGGAGGCGUUACCCGCAGAAGAAGCACCGGCUAACUCCGUGCCAGCAGCCGCGGUAAUAC